AAUUUCUUCCUCUUUUGAUUGUACCACCCACUGAGUUAACGUGGAAAUCAAAUAUGGAAGUCGUCAGAUUCGCCUAGAGAUGAUAUAAGGAAUAAGAAUGCAAUUAUGUUAAUUUGACUGUAUAAGAAUAUCUUUACUAUCUAACAAUAAAUUCCAUACCUCUAAUAA
Molecule: long non-coding RNA, 168 nt
Organism: Pogonomyrmex barbatus (red harvester ant)
Lineage: Eukaryota; Metazoa; Arthropoda; Insecta; Hymenoptera; Formicidae
Source: RefSeq, a predicted model, not a curated record